GGAGUCUGGUCCGUGUCUCAGUACCAGUGUGGGGGAUAAGCCUCUCAGCUCCCCUAGACAUCGUCGGCUUGGUGGGCCGUUGCCCCGCCAACUACCUAAUGCCACGCAUGCCCAUCCGUAACCACCAAGGCUUUCGCCGCCUGACCAUCCGCGGCCAAACGGCUAUAUGGGGUAUUAGUGGAAAUUUCUCUCCGUUAUCCCCCUGUUACGGGCAGGUUGCAUACGCGUUACGCACCCGUGCGCCGGUCGCCAUCACAGAUAGCAAGCUACCUGCAUGCUGCCCCUCGACUUGCAUGUGUUAAGCCUGUAGCUAGCGUUCAUC
This 322-nucleotide ribosomal RNA is filed under the name uncultured Bacteroidales bacterium. RNAcentral describes it as "partial 16S ribosomal RNA". The record is from RNAcentral. Lineage: Bacteria; Pseudomonadati; Bacteroidota; Bacteroidia; Bacteroidales.